Molecule: long non-coding RNA, 478 nt
Filed under: Setaria viridis
Lineage: Eukaryota; Viridiplantae; Streptophyta; Magnoliopsida; Poales; Poaceae
Description: long non-coding RNA (SVIR_LNC010944)
Source: RNAcentral
UCGGUACUCAAGGUUAAUUCAAGACAAGCAUCCAUAGAAGAAGCUGUGAAGAAAGAGGGCAAGCGGUGUGUGAAAUGUGAUCACAAGGAGAAAUCAACUUGUACACAUGUACCUUAUGUACAACAUAUUUUAGGAAUGUAGUAGUUGAGUACUGUAAAAGUGGGACCAUUUUCCCAUUGUAAUACUUUUUCUAAAGUGAGUUCUUUACUCAUCGGUAUCAAAUUUAUAUGAGACCAACACCACCCCUGCACUCAAUAAUACUUGAAAAAUAUGUUCUUGAAAAGCUAUACUUCAUGGUAAAAAAAACCAUAAAACCUCACUGUUUUACAACCGCUGACGGUUUUUUUAAAGAACUUGUUCUCAUAACUCAGUUGAAUAAAUGGACUAUCAUGUUGUGAAUCAAAUACUAGAAAGUCUGUAGGGGUGAUUCGCAUUGCUACUCCUUCAGUCCGGCCCUCCUUCAAACCGACCCUCCCCC